Molecule: long non-coding RNA, 571 nt
Organism: Syzygium oleosum
Lineage: Eukaryota; Viridiplantae; Streptophyta; Magnoliopsida; Myrtales; Myrtaceae
Exons: 2
Source: RefSeq, a predicted model, not a curated record
UCACGAACAGGAGAGAUUCCUCCAUAAAUCGACUGAGUCGUGGACUCCAAAGCACUCGAUCUCUUCCUAUACAGGCUCGCGCUCGGUCACUCGGUGGAGAGAGUGGCGGAAACUGCGAUCAACCCUUGUGUUAACCAGAUGCCCGGUAGUGAUAGAGUUAUUGACAUCGGAGGUCCAUCCUUCUCCAACGAACAAACAAGAGCAAGGAAUGUUCAAGUUUCAAUAAGCCAAUCUUCAAUUGAUGUCUCGGAAUCUCCAUGCACUCAACAAUCUGGAAUCGGUGGUGGAUUGUGAAAUUGUGGACCAAGAAAUGCUAGUGGAUAUUCAGUGCCUGCUGUUAGAUGAGGAGAUUUUGUUGCAGACAGAAAAGUGCUAGUUUUUAUGUUUUUUGUAAGUAGAUAUGGCUAUGUACUGUCUGGUGUGAGGAUAUGGUAAUGUAACUUUCUAUAUGGGAUGGUUUGGUUAUGUACGAUGCAUUGAGUUGUGCUUGUUAUGUUGGCAUGUCUCUCUUUUCCAGCACACAAUGUGGAUCGGUUUAAGUUAAUCUAAUGCUAUUUAGCAGAUUUUUGCC